UAGAUAGGUUUGCGUGUUUAUGUGGCUUAUGUGUUAUAUGUUUUACCUGCUUUCGUUAGGAUUUUUGCAUCUAGAUAUUAUGCUUACGUGUUACGUGCUACGUGCUCUUAUGUGUUUAUUUGUUUUAAUUUAUGUUUUAUUUGUUUUACUAUGUACUAUUAAUGCAUGGCGUCACCACACUAGUCCAACGCUAGUUGUGGCUUCUCCCUCCGCUUACUUGCUAGCCCAACGCUAGUAAGGAAUUUUAGAAAUGGGCUAGUCCAACGCUAGAUCCUUUAGGUCGUCUUGCGC
RNAcentral lists this long non-coding RNA (291 nucleotides) under Coffea arabica (coffee). RNAcentral's name for it is "long non-coding RNA (CARA_LNC000138)". Lineage: Eukaryota; Viridiplantae; Streptophyta; Magnoliopsida; Gentianales; Rubiaceae. The record is from RNAcentral.